This 468-nucleotide ribosomal RNA is filed under the name uncultured bacterium. RNAcentral describes it as "partial 16S ribosomal RNA". It matches the Rfam family "Bacterial small subunit ribosomal RNA", at positions 28 to 507 of the family's 1533-position model. The record is from RNAcentral.
GACGAACGCUGGCGGCGUGCUUAACACAUGCAAGUCGAACGGAAAGGCCCUGCUUUUGUGGGGUGCUCGAGUGGCGAACGGGUGAGUAACACGUGAGUAACCUGCCCUUGACUUUGGGAUAACUUCAGGAAACUGGGGCUAAUACCGGAUAGGAGCUCCUGCUGCAUGGUGGGGGUUGGAAAGUUUCGGCGGUUGGGGAUGGACUCGCGGCUUAUCAGCUUGUUGGUGGGGUAGUGGCUUACCAAGGCUUUGACGGGUAGCCGGCCUGAGAGGGUGACCGGCCACAUUGGGACUGAGGUACGGCCCAGACUCCUACGGGAGGCAGCAGUGGGGAAUAUUGCGCAAUGGGCGGAAGCCUGAUGCAGCAACGCCGCGUGCGGGAUGACGGCCUUCGGGUUGUAAACCGCUUUCGCCUGUGACGAAGCGUGAGUGACGGUAAUGGGUAAAGAAGCACCGGCUAACUACGUG